Molecule: ribosomal RNA, 280 nt
Filed under: uncultured bacterium
Lineage: Bacteria
Also listed under: 1 other name
Description: partial 16S ribosomal RNA
Rfam family: Bacterial small subunit ribosomal RNA
Source: RNAcentral
CCUACGGGAGGCAGCAGUGGGGAAUCUUGCGCAAUGGGCGAAAGCCUGACGCAGCGACGCCGCGUGAGUGACGAAGGCCUUCGGGUUGUAAAGCUCUGUGGGGAAGAACGAACUGGCAUUCGGUGAACAUCCGGGUGUCUUGACGGUACUUCCUUAGCAAGCACCGGCUAACUCUGUGCCAGCAGCCGCGGUAAGACAGAGGGUGCAAACGUUGCUCGGAUUUACUGGGCGUAAAGCGCAAGUAGGCGGUCUCGUUAGUCGGGUGUGAAAACCCAGGGCU